CACUUUCUUAUAAUAAAUAUAUCCAUUGAAUUUUGGUUUGUAAUUUCCAUACAACAUCCCAUUAAAUAUAGAAAACACGUAAGUAAGUUUUUAUACAAUACAAUUCAAGGGUUGAAUGUCAGGAAAGAGUAAGCACGUUUUACAGAUAUUCCAUGAAUGAAUGAGUAAAUUGACUAUAAGAAUGAGCCACAUUGAAGGUUAUGUGUUUCCAGAACAUUUCUUGCAGACUGUUUGACCUUUUGACCAGUCAAAUAAUGGUUUCUACAAACAGGCAUGUACACGUCAGCACCAGCCACUACUUCUCUCUCUGUCUCCUCUGUUUUCCUUAAAGUAAAAAAAGCAGGCUUUCCACUAUGUGUUCAAGUUGAUUUACCAUAAAUAUUCGAUAAGUAAUGAAGGUAAAGUUAAACAUAAUGGGAUUCAUCGCGAUGCUCUCCCACUCUCCCUCGAAAACCAUCAAACAAAAAGUCAUGUCCGUAAUUCACGACUCAAAAGAACUCCAUAUUAUCUUCCAAAUCCAUGCAUUCCUUCUAAAAACUUCCUUACAAUCCGACAACUUCAUCAUCACCAAGCUGCUUCGGAACUUCUCUUUGAAUUCUUCAAACAAUUUGCUUUAUGCCAGAUCCCUUUUUGACGAAAUGCCAUGUCCAGACACAUUUCUUUGGAACACCAUGAUCAGAGCUUACUUAAAUUCCGAAAACCCCGACGAAUGUCUGUCUUUAUUUCACCAGUUGCGUCGCCAAGAUCACCACUUUAUAGACAGUUUCAGCCUCUCUCUUGUGGUUCAAGCGUGUGGGAGGUCGGGUUUUCUUCAAAACGGUCAAACGAUACAUACCCAGGUAUUGAAACUUGGUUUUGGGAAUGAUCUCUUUGUCCAGACGGGUCUCACUGAAAUGUACGUGAAAUUCGGGUGGAUAGAAUUUGCGAGGAAGGUGUUUGGUGAAAUGAAAGAUCCAGACUUGGUUUCGUAUAAUGUAAUGCUAGCUGAGUAUGUGAGGAUUGGGGAAAUAAGUUUAGCACGCCAACUGUUUGAUAAAAUGUCUCAAAGAGACUUGGUUUCAUGGAACAUCAUGAUCCAUGGUUAUGCCUCACUUCCCCAUGGAGGUAAAUAUUUGGUUUCUUGGAGCAAGCAGUCUCACGAGGCUUUGAAUCUCUUCCAUGAUAUGCAAUUAGCUAACUUUUUACCUGAUAAAAUCACAAUUGUGAGUGUGUUAUCCGCAUGUGGAGAUUUAUGUGCUCUAACUACAGGCAUGAAAGUUCACAAGUACAUAAUUCAAAACCGAAUCGAAAUAGACAUAAAGCUUGCAACUUCCCUUGUCAACAUGUAUGCAAAAUGUGGAGAUAUAAACACUGCAUUGAAAGUUUUCAAUGGCAUAAAAAAGAAAGAUGUGUUCUUAUGGAGUGCUAUGAUCAUGGGGUUUUCAAACCAUGGGUAUGGCGAUCUUGCACUCGAUCAUUUCAACAAUAUGAUAAAUGAAGGAGUUAAACCAAAUGGUGUCACCUUUAUAGGUGUUUUAAGUGCUUGUAGUCAUAUUGGUUUAGUGGAUAAAGGGUGGGAAUACUUUAACUCCAUGAGUGAUGUAUAUGGAUUAACACAAGAAAUGGAACAUUAUGGUUGCAUGGUUGAUAUUUUGAGUCGUGCAGGACAUUUAGAUAAAGCCAAAGAUUUAAUCAUGAAUAUGCCUUUUGAACCGGAUGUGGUGGUUUGGAGAGGGCUUCUUGGGGGAUGUAAGAUUCAUAAAAAUGUUGAAAUAGGUGAAGAUGUUAAUAGGAAAAUAAUAGCACUAGAAGGUUAUGAUGAUGGAAAUUAUGUGUUGUUAUCCGAUAUAUAUUGUGAAGGUAAAAGGUGGGAAGAAGCUGUAAAUGUUAGGAAGAAGAUGGAAGAAGUUAGAAUACAAAAGUCUCCUGGAAUGAGUUCAAUCGAGGUUGAUACUACACCCAAUCAAGAUCUAGAUUGACAGACAUUCUGUAUCAAAAUUCAUAAUUUUUUGUUCUCUACAGUAUCGAUAUAUUGUUAUUAUAAUAAUGAUUACAUCUAUACAUACAAUUUAUACAUCCAUACAUACAAAAAUUAGUUGGUCAGAAUAACCAACGCAACCGAUAAGACCAAAUAUUGUUGAUAAUUUAUAAAUGAAUGAUUAAAAUUUAUAAUUUUUAUUCUUUACAAAGAAAUGAUGAAACUAAAACAUAUAAAGAGAAGAGAGGAGGUGGAUGGAAGUUUGCACCAUGUCUAGCAAUAAGUUACAUGCAAGUGUUCAAAAGCAUCAAAAGAAAGAAAUGAAAACAAAAAAAAAUGUAUAUAACUUAUAACUCUUACAAUAAUUGCCAUUCUAAAUGCAUAAAUCUAUCUAUAGAUCAUUGAAGCUCUUUUAACAAACUAGACACCAAUAUAUACCAUGUUACAUGAUUAGGUACAAACCCUUUGACAACACCUCUACUUAAAAGCAAAUACGCUUUAUCAAACAUGCUUUCUUUACAAUACGAAGAUAUCAAAGUAUUGUAAGUAAUCACAUCAGGACUCAUACCUUUCAACUCCAAAACUUCAAACAGCUUCAUACCUUCUUCCACAUUUCUCAUCUUGCAUAAUCCACUAAUUAAAGUAUUAUAACUCACAAUAUCAGGAAUCAUCCCUGAAUUCUCCAUAUCUUGUAAAAAAUCAAACGCCUUUUGUAGUUUUCCAGUUUUAACAAAUCCAUUCAUCAAAAGAUUGCAAGAAACAGUAGUUUGAUUGAAAUCCUUCUCCCUCAUCUUCCCAAAAACAUCGAAUGCUUUUUCAACAGCUCCAUCUCUGCAUAAAGCUUUUAUUAGGCCAUUAUAUGUGAUUUCAUCAAGUGAGCAUCCAUGGAAUAACAUCGUGUCUACGAGGUUAAAAGCGUCAUUAAUCAAACCUUGUUUAAGAAAAGAACGAAUCAAAGUGUUGUAAGUUACAGUAUCCGCAACAACACCUUCCAACACCAUGUCUUUUUGACACAUUCUCAAUGCAUGUUGAAUCAUUUCAAUCUCACAUAACCCAAAUAUUAGUGAAUUGAAAGUGAAAAUGUCGCGUUUACAUCCAUUCAUACGCAUUUCUUCAAACAAGUUUACAGCUUUAUAGACAUCACCAUACUUACAUAACGAAUGUAUGAUUGAAUUGUAUCCAAUUGUGUUUAAACUCAACCCCUUUUGUGACAUUUCUUGAAUCACCUCACUUGCUUCAUCAAAUCUUUGAUUCUUACAAAAUCCAUUAAUCAAGAUUGUGUAAGUGAUUGUGUUGGGUUCAUAACCUUUUGAUUCCAUUUCUUUCAACAAAUCAUGAGCUGAAACCAAAUGCCCAGUUUUGCAAAGACCAUGAAUGAGUGAAGUGUAUGUAUGAAUAUCGGGAUGACAGCCAUUAAUGGACAUCUUUUCACUCACAAUUGCUUUAGCUUCAUCAAACUGCCCUUUUGCAAUAAACCCGUUUACUAACAUGUUGUACAUGAUGCUAUUUGGUUCAUGAACUUUAGUAAUUAGGGUUUUAGCUUCUUCCACUUGCUUAUUUCGACAUAAUCCAUGGAUUAGAACCCCAUAAGUUAGGGCAUUUGGAGUGAACCCACGAAGAAGCAUCCUAUCCAUUAAUUUUGCAGCCUCAUGGAUUCGAUUUGAUCUACAAAGAGCAUGAAUAGCAUCGUUGAAAGUUUCAAGAUCAGGUGUACAACCCAUGACUAUCAUCUCUUCCAAAAGUGUUAACGCUUUAUCUACUCUAUUAUCUUUGGAUAAUGCGUGAAUCAGGGUCUGGUAAACUUUUGAGUUUGGGGCACAUCCGUACUUUGUCAUGCGUCUAAGGAGAGUACAUGCGGAAUCAACUUCGUUAAUGGAGCAAUGUGCUUUCAUUACAAUCGCAAAACUGAAGACAUCAGGAGGGAUGCCUCUUUCAAGCAUUUCGUCGAACAAUUUGGGUGCGUCUUUGAAGCAACCUCCUUGGACGAGUAUAUCCAGAACGGCGUUAUACGAUUUGGAGGUCGGUUGACACAAGAAAACGUCUCGCAUUUUUACCAAAAGCAAUCUCCUGGCUUGACCAGGUAAAUCGGCUCUCUGGUAAUGCCUCAUGAUCAUAACGAAAAGGGUUUCUUGAAAAACUAUCCCUUCGUCUUUCAUCUGCAUCAACAAUCUAUCGAUGGUCUUGAAUUCUCCAACCGCUCCAAUCUUAUCGAUUAAUGCGUAAUACACGUCGAACGUAUGAGCGUAGCCUUUUUGGGUACCGGCGGAAUUGAAUAUUUCAAGUGAAGUUGAUACAUCAAGUGGAAGGUGAAGUAAUUUUUGAAGCUGAAGUGGGGUGAUUCUAUGGAGCGAUUCCCUGAGUUGUUCAAUGUCGAAAGGUUUAAGCAAUUUCCCCCAAUCGGUUUCAGACUCUGAACAACUUCCAUUGCCGUUUGAAGUAGAAAAUGGAUAAAUUUGGGUUUUGUUUAGAGAUUUUAGGAUUUGGAGAAGAUGGGUUGAUGAAAAACUUGAUCUUUUCAACAUGAUUUGAAGGAUUGACAUGAAAAUGCGUGUGGUGAUGAUAGUAGGAUCGCAGAGAGCUCAUAUCUGGGUCGGAAGCGAAGAACACCGUAGUUGCCACAUCAACUGAAAACAAUAUUCCAACAUCUUCCUUUGUUGUUAACAACUCCAAACAUAAUAUAGAGUAAAAUUUAAUUUUUAAAUAAUGAGACUUUCACAAAUCUAUUGAUAAUAGUUAUUAAUUUAAAAACCAAUUCAUAAUAUAAUUUCUUUUACAAAAACAAAAAAUUAUCAUCUACAACUACAAGUACAAACAACACAAUUUAGAGAUUUAUUUCAACGCCUACUCAUCAAAACCACAAGAAUUAUUCUUGUAAAACCAAUCAAGUUAAUAUAUUUCUUUUAUAUAAACAAAGCAAUGUAAAAAUCUAUUGCAAUAUCUUACUUUCAAAACCACGAGAGGUAUAAAUCAUAUAAAAUUAAAAUGAUUCUUAAUGGAAUCAUUUUAAUUUUUGGAGAAGAUGAACAUUGCAUCAUAUUUUUUUUUUUGUAGCAAACGAUUAUUCUUCUAGCAACAGAGAAGUAAAUCUGACAUACUAUGCCCCAUUAGAUAUUUGAUAUAAAGAUGUAAUGCUCACAAAAUUUUCAAUCCAUUAUGGAAUUAAACCUUUUAUAUAACUAAUGGGACUCAAACCCUUAGACCAUUUUUGCCGAACCCAGCUAUGCACUAACAACUGUUGAUGUAUUUUUUUAUAUGAAAUUAGUAACAUUAAUAUAUUUCACUUUCUUAUAAUAAAUAUAUCCAUUGAAUUUUGGUUUGUAAUUUCCAUACAACAUCCCAUUAAAUAUAGAAAACACGUAAGUAAGUUUUUAUACAAUACAAUUCAAGGGUUGAAUGUCAGGAAAGAGUAAGCACGUUUUACAGAUAUUCCAUGAAUGAAUGAGUAAAUUGACUAUAAGAAUGAGCCACAUUGAAGGUUAUGUGUUUCCAGAACAUUUCUUGCAGACUGUUUGACCUUUUGACCAGUCAAAUAAUGGUUUCUACAAACAGGCAUGUACACGUCAGCACCAGCCACUACUUCUCUCUCUGUCUCCUCUGUUUUCCUUAAAGUAAAAAAAGC
RNAcentral lists this long non-coding RNA (5576 nucleotides) under Lactuca sativa (garden lettuce). Its description in RNAcentral is "long non-coding RNA (LSAT_LNC006582)". The record is from RNAcentral. Lineage: Eukaryota; Viridiplantae; Streptophyta; Magnoliopsida; Asterales; Asteraceae.